Long non-coding RNA from Conger conger (European conger), 1091 nucleotides. RefSeq lists it as uncharacterized. The record is from RefSeq and is a predicted model, not a curated record. The transcript is spliced from 3 exons. NCBI's taxonomy places the organism in Eukaryota, Metazoa, Chordata, Actinopteri, Anguilliformes, Congridae.
ACCGGGUUUGCGCAUUAGUGUUUCCUGUUAGCUAGUAAUCUUAGCUAUCUUUUAGUUAUGUUCCAGAUUAUAACUUUAGAUUACAUUUGGUUGUAUUAAUAUGGUACUAAUUAAAUUAAUUAUUUUCGACUUCACAUCGGGUUCAGAAAGUACAGAUAAUUACAACAGGCACAUUUAGUUAGCUAGCCAGUCAGUCACCAUGGCCAUAUUUAUUCUUCAUUCAGUUAUAGGCCUGUUUUAUUGUGUACCAUUUGCCAUGAUUAUUUGUUCACUUUUACGAAAGGAAGAAAUCUCCAGAGGGAUUGCUUUUACCUAGCUAGCAUAGCUCUAAGAGUCUCAAACGAUUAACACGUUACUUCUCAAAAUCUCAGUCUAUGAUAGAAUGCCGAAAGCUCGUCAACAACCAGGCUAGCUAGCUAGAUAUCGAACUACAUAUGCCAAAAAUGACAGGCUUUUAACUUUCGCCUUAAAUUGCUUUCGUGAGCUGCAGCGAUCAUGUCGCUGUACGAUAACCUCGGCGUGCACACCAGCGAAAAGACGGAAGGCUGGUCUAAGAACUUCAAACUACUGCAGUCUCAGCUGAGUGCAGGUGAAAAAGGCCACGCUCACGCAAGCCAAGACCCCACAGUGUUGAGCAGAAGAGCUGUGGGUUCUGUGCGGAGUCAACGCCACGGUUCUGGCCCCGGUCCUGGCCCCAGUCAUCGACCUGAAAAGAGGCGGCUCCAGCGAUGACAGACAGGUGUCAGACACGCCCCCUCACCUGGCUGCAGGGCUGAAGGCUGGUUUUCGGCAGGUGAUGUGCUGAUCCCAUUGGCCGAUGAGUACGACCCCAUGUUCCCCAACGACUACGCCACGGCGGUGAAACGGCAGCGCGGAGCGACAGAACCAGACGGGCGGCGACAGAACCAGACGGGCAGCGACAGAACCAGACGGGGAGCGACAGAACCAGACGGGCAGCGACAGAACCAGACGGGGAGCGACAGAACCAGGCGGGCAGCGGGGAGCGACAGAACCAGACGGGCAGCGACAGAACCAGACGGGCAGCGACAGAACCAGACGGGGAGCGACAGAACCAGACGGGGAGCGACAGA